GCUAUGUAAAUUCUGACCUAAAAUACUAGUAAGCCAAUCGUCUCAUACCUCGCAUAAAACGACAGCCAAUCAGUGCUUAUGAUACAAAUUUCAAAUCUGUCAGUUGGAGUGGACGUCACUCUAUGUUUAAGCAUUGCAGAGUGUGCACUGUGCAAUCUAAUCUUACCGUUCUAUAAAAUGUCCACGGUUUCUGGAACCAUGAAAAAGGAGACAAUGAGAACUUAGCCAUCAUCCUCAGGGAAAAGUACGGCCGGAAGAAUUACCUCCUUGCUCCCAAGCAGACUCCAAGAAAAAAACUACCGCUAGGCUGAGCAGAAACAUACACGGGGAACCCUGCCAGAUAGCCCGACGCCACCCGGCGUCUCUCGCCAAGGACGGAAGAUUUUUCAUCAAAUGGAGAGGGGACACAGAAGGCAAGACAGCCCGACCGGACGUAGAACAUACACACAAGAGACAAAUCCCCGAGCCCACUGAAAGCGUCGAGGGGAGAGCUACUGACAGCGCAGUUCUUGUUGUGGAAACAUCGGAGAAGAAGGAUCAAACAGCGUGUUUAUAGUAAAGCAAGUGCAUUGUGUAAUUUCAUCUGGGUUUACCAGUAAACAAACGUCCGUGCCAGGUGUGCAU
Branchiostoma belcheri (Belcher's lancelet) is the source of this 624-nucleotide long non-coding RNA. RefSeq lists it as uncharacterized. NCBI's taxonomy places the organism in Eukaryota, Metazoa, Chordata, Leptocardii, Amphioxiformes, Branchiostomatidae. The record is from RefSeq and is a predicted model, not a curated record. The transcript is spliced from 3 exons.